UACGGAGGGUGCGAGCGUUAAUCGGAAUUACUGGGCGUAAAGCGCGCGUAGGCGGCCAUGUAAGUCGGGUGUGAAAUCCCCGGGCUCAACCUGGGAAUUGCAUUCGAUACUGCACGGCUGGAGUAUGGUAGAGGGUAGUGGAAUUCCGGGUGUAGCGGUGAAAUGCGUAGAUAUCCGGAGGAACACCAGUGGCGAAGGCGGCUACCUGGACCAAUACUGACGCUGAGGCGCGAAAGCGUGGGGAGCAAACAGG
Molecule: ribosomal RNA, 253 nt
Filed under: uncultured bacterium
Lineage: Bacteria
Description: partial 16S ribosomal RNA
Rfam family: Bacterial small subunit ribosomal RNA
Source: RNAcentral